UUUUCUCUACAAAGAUCUGUUUAGAACUGAUAUACCCAGUCGAUAAAUAAAACCAGUUUGGUUUAGGUUUCCUAAGGAAUGGCACUUAUAAUCUGCAGAUUGCAUGAGAGAAAUAUAACCAGUGGCGUUACGGAGGAAGAGGGGGCCGGGCACGUAGGCAUAUUUGGUGUGGGGACUGCACUGUUGACAUUAGGGCCAUUUAUACGAGAC
Molecule: non-coding RNA, 210 nt
Organism: Paramuricea clavata
Lineage: Eukaryota; Metazoa; Cnidaria; Anthozoa; Malacalcyonacea; Plexauridae
Source: the annotation of a GenBank genome assembly